UCCCUCGUAGUUCAGUCGGUAGAACGGCGGACUGUUAAUCCGUAUGUCACUGGUUCGAGUCCAGUCGAGGGAGCCA
This 76-nucleotide transfer RNA is filed under the name Tolumonas auensis. RNAcentral's name for it is "tRNA-Asn". It matches the Rfam family "tRNA". Rfam says of the family: Transfer RNA (tRNA) molecules are approximately 80 nucleotides in length. Their secondary structure includes four short double-helical elements and three loops (D, anti-codon, and T loops). Lineage: Bacteria; Pseudomonadati; Pseudomonadota; Gammaproteobacteria; Aeromonadales; Aeromonadaceae. RNAcentral also lists the same sequence under 10 other names. The record is from RNAcentral.